GAUGAAGAACGCAGCGAAAUGCGAUAAGUAGUGUGAAUUGCAGAAUUCAGUGAAUCAUCGAAUCUUUGAACGCACAUUGCGCCCCUUGGUAUUCCAUGGGGCAUGCCUGCUCGAGCGUCAUUUGUACCUUCAAGCUUUGCUUGGUGUUGGGUGUUUGUCCAUUCUCUUGCAGAGGGACUCGCCUUAAAGUAAUUGGCAGCCAGUGUUUUGGUUUUGAAGCGCAGCACAAGUCGCGAUUCAAAGCUAUACGCCCGCUUCCACAAGCCUUUUUCACUUUUGACCUCGGAUCAGGUAGGGAUACCCGCUGAACUUAAGCAUAUCAAUAAGCGGAGGA
RNAcentral lists this unclassified non-coding RNA (334 nucleotides) under soil metagenome. Its description in RNAcentral is "partial contains 5.8S ribosomal RNA, internal transcribed spacer 2, and large subunit ribosomal RNA". The stretch from base 1 to 120 matches the Rfam family "5.8S ribosomal RNA", at positions 35 to 154 of the family's 154-position model. The record is from RNAcentral.